RNAcentral lists this ribosomal RNA (199 nucleotides) under uncultured bacterium. Its description in RNAcentral is "partial 16S ribosomal RNA". It matches the Rfam family "Bacterial small subunit ribosomal RNA", at positions 328 to 544 of the family's 1533-position model. The record is from RNAcentral.
ACGCUCGACACCUACGAGAGGCAGCAGUGGGGAAUAUUGCACAAUGGGGGAAACCCUGAUGCAGCGACGCCGCGUGAGCGAAGAAGUAUUUCGGUAUGUAAAGCUCUAUCAGCAGGGAAGAUAAUGACGGUACCUGACUAAGAAGCUCCGGCUAAAUACGUGCCAGUAGCCGCGGUAAUCUGAGCGGGCGUGGCAAGGC